UUCACCCAGUCACAGCCACAGCAGCACUUGAGGUCCACAGGAUCUGGACUUUGGAAGCUUUUAUCACAGGCUACUCUUUGUUUGGUUGAUGUUGUGGAUGGAAGUGAUUUAUGUGCUCUAAGUAGCAGUAGAGCCAAACAAUUAAUCAAAAUAUGAUUGAAAUUGCAUGACCAAGUGCAAUAUCCAAAUCACAGGAGCUGUGUUAUAAAUGAAGCAGCAUGGCGUUACAUACAUACAUACCCUGGCUACAAAUCACAUUCACCAGAUGUAAGGGAACAUGUUUGUUUGGCACAGACACCCUGCAAAAAUCACAUCAUCUGUAGAUUUUUCUCAGUGUAAAAGUUCAAAAAUGACCACUGAUUGUUCAGCCUUCCUUUACGUGCUACUGUGGAUAUCAAAUUAUGGAAUAGCUGGGGGAUAAAAAGGGAGCAGAUCUCCCUGUAAAGACGCACAGUGCUCACCAGCUUGACUGCUGUGAGUGACACAGGAAGGUUAGUGGAGAUAACAUCAAUAUGAGGGAAGUGAAGUAUUAAAGUAAUAACGGUGGUAUUUCUGUAUGUCUGCAUAGUGUAGUUUCCUUUGUGAGUUGUUUCGACUUGCAUUAAUUAGUAGUAUCAAUCAUCAGAGGCAAUGAAAGGUGUCAGUGUACAGGUGGAAACAGAGUGUCGAGUGUUGGCUAAUGUUAUCUCACAGGUAAAAUCAGGAUUCACUGUUACAUUUGAUCUGUUAAUCUAAAAAAACUUUUAUUAGUUAGUGUGAAGACAGGGCAGGUAUGAACUGAGUCAGUGAGUACAUGGUUUCCAUGACAACCAGCACAGCACCACAGUCUGGUCACUGAGCCUCCUGUCAGUGCCACACACUAUUUUCAAAAAAUCUGAUUCUAGUGGCUAGUAAGCUGCUUGUUUAGUUAUUCAAAUGAUAAAACAAUAAUAUUGUUCUAUUAUAAACUAAUUAGAUGAGAAACUAAUCUGAUGUCUCAGGAAUUGCAGUGAUGACAUCCCUGGCUCUUGUUAAUAUCAUAACUUUAAUCUGUAUGAUCACAGAAUUCAAUUUUGAAAAGCCUUGAGCAGGAAAACACAAUUACCGUCACAUCACACAUUAACUAAUCUAAUAAUACUGCUGCCAUGCUUAUAUUGUCAUUAGUGUGAAAUUAUGAUUGAAAUCGGCUAAACACUUUGAAUCAAGUUUAAUAUAUAUGUUAAACAUUUAUUGCAGUGUCCUGUGAUAUAUUGAGUCUGUAUUUGUCUUAAUUAUUUGUUUUUGAGUUGAGGGAGGGUGAUCUGACGAAGAAGGAAAAGAAUAUGCAAAAACAGAAGAUGAUGACACAGACAGCGGAGAGUCCGAUUAAAUAAGCAUGUAACAAUAGAUAGAAGCCACUUCUCUGGACCGCAGGAAAUAUAUAUAUUAAAAAAAACACUCAGAACUGGAACUCAAUUGAAGAUUUGCCUUGGUGAUGGCCAGGUUGAAAUUUGUUUGAACAAUGAUGGAAUAUCAGUAUACCUGAAAAAAGAGACUUGGCUGGCUUAGGCAUCACAUGCGCCAACACCACAGUCAGUAAUGACUGAUAAGCUCUGUGUUUUAUCCAUUUUGUUUCUAUGAGUCUUACAGAUAGAGAUGCCAGAUGCUGUGUAAUGUUCACUCAAGUGGCCAAAGAGCUGUAACAGUCAAAUAUGUGAUGGUAACAAACAGAGUUACUCCUGCCAAAACACAAAAUCCACCUAUAAGUUAAAAAAAUAAAUCACCUGUUACCAAGCUCCACCAGUUUCCAGCUGCUGAAUAAUCUUUAAAAACAGAGCAGCUUCUCAAAGCCAACACAACACACACAAGCACAGCGUUUCCUCUGCAGAUACUAUAUAUUGUGUCUUAUUGACACAUUAAUACAAGCUUAUUUUCAUCUUCCUUGCACUGAUGAGAUUGCACAUUGUUGACAUUUUGAGAGGCAAAGAAAAUGUUCGAGCCCCUUCGGCAAACCUUUUCUAAUUGCUGCAAUUUAAAGAUAUUACAGUUAUCACAUCAGGCUUGUUUGGAAGUGACUAAUGACCGUUUUAGAGUGAAAUGUCAGCCCUAAUUACUGGCUCUUGCUCCAACAAAGCCUGAUGCUGCUAUCCUUGCCACACACUUUUGAAUGACAUUUGCAAUGGCUCAAAGAUUCUGUUGAACAGUAAUUGCCCUGUACUGUUUUUUUCAUGUUAUGUUUAAUGACUUUGGAGGAUUUGAAUCCUCCUCCAGCAGGUGGCAGUGAAAUAUCAGGUCUUCCUCUCAAGCCUAAGAACAUUGUCUUCCUCCGUCAUUUCUCUAGCUCAAAAACAAUGUGCUUUGGACUUACUAACAUAAAUACCCCAUAAUUCUGUUUCAUAGUGCUGGAGUUCAGAUCUAAUAUUUACUCUGCAUGUGCAAUUAAAAAAACACACCACGCUGUAGAACAGUUUGACCUGCUGUCAGACAGUGGCUCUUUUUCUGUAGGUGGUAGUUUUUUUCAUACGUUAAUACCCCCCCCCAACAUUUCACUGGGGUAUCCGAUAUAUGGUGCCAUUUAUUUAAAGAAUUUUGAAAAAAUUCUAAUUAAAAAUAAGUAAAUACAAUUUGCAGAUAGCCUGCAGUACACUGGCCUCUAAGGACAAGGCACAUACAAGAGAGGAUGUGCUCAAAAUCCAGAAAUGCUUAAACACAUACAAGAGGUGCAAACAAUGCAGGAAGUGCUCCAGGGCAUUUAUUUAUGUAGCACUUUCCAACUCAAAGGCAAUUCAGAGUUUUACAUAGAGUAUGCAUCAGAGCAACAUUAAACAAACAAUAAGCAAUAAAAACCAGGAUCAAAUAAAACAAGAUUUUAAAAGACUAGUGAUGGGCUCUGUUUGUAUAAGCAGCAACAUUACAGAUAGUUUUGUGUGUCCAUCACGUACUCACAUUUCUGUUUUCAGAGAUGUGAGGACCCACUUGCUUUCAGUGUGCACCAUUGUCCUGGUGAGAGCAGUCUUAUCCCCAUUUAGUAAUUUUCCACUCUCUCUCUUGCUCUGUUGUCCAAAGCAUUUAGAAAUAUGUUAGAAUUCCUUUUAGAGGAUAAAAUGUGGUCUCAGAUUUGAAUUGGAUAAACUGACCACAAAUUAGAGAUCUAAAUGGUUACUCUCUCACCUGAAAAAAAUAUCAAAACUGAACCUAAGUUUAGGCUAAGUUGGCUAUGAAGCCUAAUGGGAAUUCACAAGUAUCACUCCUGUUAGCAUCCCAGAGCCCAUUUGUUGUAUUUCUGGCAUAUUUUCUUUAAUGUUUGUGCUUCCUGUCUUUCUGUCAGUGCUGUCUAAUACUAAUUACUUUGACAAGUCUUGCUGGGGUUAAAUGCGUUUCACCUAUUUUAUGUUGUAGCUGUGAAUAAACUUAAAUAGUAUAAAUGCAAAAUGAUGUAUACGGUAUGAUGUUGGACUGUGUCUGCCCCACUGUGCCUCUUCUCCCCUUUACGGACGUUGAUUUGACUCUGUGACUACGUCUGCUGCUGGUUUAAAGGUGGAACAACAGUGUCCCCCAUUCUGCCUCUGCACCUUUUAUAAAGGAGGCAGAGACAGAAUAAUGGCACAACAUUCCUGCUUUGAGCAGGCUGUAUAAAAGGGGCUAUAGUGACAAAUGUUUUCUGUUCCCUCGUAGACCACAUCAUUAAUGAAUUUUAAAAUGUAUUUAGCUCUUGAAGCCUUUAUUAAUAACCAGCGUAAACAUAAGGGACACUUGCUCUUCACUUUUCAUUCAUCAAUUUAAUCAUUUAUCAGUUUAUUUUAUAAUAUUUAUUUUGUAUUACAGCUGCCGUAAAUACCAGAAAAUAGUGAUUUUAAAAAAUGCUCAUGGUUUCCUAUGACCAAGGUGACAUCUCAAAAUGUCAUGUUUUGCCUAAUUGGCAGUCCAAAAUCCAAAUAUAUUAAGAAAGAAGAAAAAUAAGAAAAAGUUAGAAACAUCAGAUUUUAUUUCUUUGGGGCUAUAUAGAUGAAAUUACCUGACUCACAUGACUGCACUGUAAAAAAUAUAUUUGUAAGUAAAAGUAAAUAAAGCUAUUAAAAGUACUUAUCAUGUACAAAAAUAGGUCUGUGAGUGUGAGGGGUAUUAUUAUAUAUUAUAUAUUAGUAUUAGUGGUCUAUUAACGUCUAUGCAGUAUUUUACUGUAGUAGUUGGUCAUGGUGGGGCUAAUUACUUUAAAUAAUCUUAGCUAAUUUACAGCGCAUCAUAUAUAUGCUCAUCAUAUGAUUUAUAUGUAAAAUCUUCAUCUGCAAUGUAACUUGUAACUAAAGCUGCACUGAAAAAAGUGAAACAUCUCUGUCAUUCAUUUGAAGUGCAUUUUUACAUUACUCUGGUGGAAUAAUGUGGUUUUCAGUUUAAACCUGUAUUGUUCCGUUUGCCCAAAAGCAAAUAACACAUCCGACAGAGAGAAUUAAAAGCAGCACUUCGAUUUUGUAUUUCGACUUUGGAUUUCGUGUCAUGUGACCAUGUGACCUCAUAUCAAGUGAGGUCGCCCUCUGCCAAGUGCCUACUGUCCGCCAUUACUCUGCUUCGUCGAGUGAAGUCAUUUCUUCCUCAAAAAGUCAUUUAAACAAGAGCCUCAAGAUGAAUCUUAACAGACAAUGUCUGCUAAAAUGCCUCAUUAUGUACCUUUGGGGAAAAAGUGAACAGUCUUAUCAAGGUGUAAGAUUGAGAGGUGUACAAUGGCUGUGUCUUUCGUCAGGGAAGAGGAGGAUCCUCUUCAGCCACCACAUGACAUUGGGAUUGUCGCUGAAGGUGUGGAAGUCCUUAAUGAGUUGUCAUCAGUUGCACAUGCAUCUGCCAUGCUGUUUGGCCUCACCUAUGCUUUAAACAUGCUCUGAGCUAUUAUUUCACUUAUUUUUUUGAUGUUUUUUUAAUUAUCUUGUAUUUGUUUAUUUUUUGUACGUAAUGGAAAAUGUGAUGCAUUUUAAAAAGACUUCACAAUAAAUGUCGGUCUUUUGAAGAGAAUAUUCCGGUCUUUAUUUAUGUAUUAUAUUUAAAAUUUAGGCAAAAAUAUAUAUAUAUAUAUUGCUUAAGAUGAAAUUUUUGUACUGAAUCAAAAGUUUAACUUGAGAAAAGUUAAUAAUAUUGCUUGUAACAAAAUUACAGCAAUUAUUGUUUAUUCUAAGGUAAAAACUAGACUUAGAUGUAAGAAUAAAUAUUAGGUUUUCCCAAAUUAAAAAAUGUAUUUGUAACAGUAAAAAAUGGUGUAUGGUCUUUAUAAUAAAUAAUCUUGUUACUUUGA
Lates calcarifer (barramundi perch) is the source of this 5239-nucleotide long non-coding RNA. RefSeq lists it as uncharacterized. The record is from RefSeq and is a predicted model, not a curated record. NCBI's taxonomy places the organism in Eukaryota, Metazoa, Chordata, Actinopteri, Centropomidae. The transcript is spliced from 3 exons.